RNAcentral lists this long non-coding RNA (1907 nucleotides) under Danio rerio (zebrafish). Its description in RNAcentral is "lncRNA linc.sox4a (ENSDARG00000096312.4)". Lineage: Eukaryota; Metazoa; Chordata; Actinopteri; Cypriniformes; Danionidae. The record is from RNAcentral.
GUUUUGCGCUUAUGGAUUAUAACGACAAAACGGGAUUGCCUCUCAGUGGACCUCCACACGUGUUUGACAAAACUCUCCGAAGAUGACAUCCUGACGUAGGUUCUUGUGUGGGAGCUGAGGUCUUUUCCCAGACACAACAGAAGCCAGAGCCUGUGGUUGAUUUCAUGACUUCCUCCUCAUUGUUUGCCUGUCUGCGUGACUGGAAACCGGCAGUGACAGACCGAUGACUCCGGCCUCUCUUUAACCAGGCUUGUGGAGAAACUGGACCUGGCUCCCUCUGAAGUAUUGGAGUUCAGCAGCAAAGAGCAUCAGGAAGCAUUACCACAUCACUCACAGUUCAGCUCUCCGGCAAUGCCCUGACCUCCUGAACCCUGACCUUAAAUGACCUCUCUUCGUACUCUCGGUUUAACUAGCUCAGCGGCUCUCAGUAUCAGCCUUCAGCGUGGGAACCGCACAUAACUGAUGGCCGAGUGUGGAGGAUAGUCGUGUUCUGGUUCUGAAUGAUACCUCUGGGCUAAAGCGGGAAAGCGUGGACAUAUCUCUCCAUCUGCUUCCCUGUGACAUCAAAGGAAAAGCCUUGGAUUCUACGGCCUAUAUAUAAAACCUGCAGGAAGACAUGUGUUAUUCUGGCUCUCUUCCUGUAACCUAAGGCUGAUCUCGAACACUCUUUUUCUCAUUCUCUCUCACUUUGUCUGCUUUGUGCUGAAGUGGACACUCUUAUGACUAAGUGUUGUCAUUUUAUGUGCUUCUUUCAUGUUAUACAGUCUUCUUAAAGUGAUAGUUCACCCAAAAAUUCUUUCUUCAUUUACUCAUCUUCUACUUCUGCUCAACCGGUUUGAGUUUCUUUCUUCUGUCAAAUGCCAAUAAUGAAGAUAUUAAAGAAUGCUGGUAAGAAGCAGCCACUGACAUUUUGGUUUCUACUGUGAAUGUCAGUGCUGCUGGUUUGCAAUAUUGUUCAGAGUAUGUACAGUACUAAAUAGUAAGGGAGUUUUUUAUUUUAGGAUGAACUUCUGGAUUAACCUUUUAUUUUUGGAUCUUGGGGUUAAAAGUACAGCUACCUAAAAAGGAAAAUCCUGUUGUUGUUUUUUUUCACCCACAUGCCAUAAACAGAAAAAUACACACAGAGAAAAUUACAUUUGCUGCUUAUUUUAAUUACAGUUUGAAAAUGUUCAGUAUUUUUGUUCAUUAUUGUUCAGUCGGCUUAAAUGUGUAUAAAAAAAGUCUGUAAGAGCCAUAGUUUGAUUUAAUACAACUUAUUAUUAGUGCUCUUAUUCAUGUACAGUUUACACUUGUUUACAUGUUUACUUGUGUGAAUUUGUUGAUUUCUCCCUAUUCUUUUGGUUGAAACGGUUUGCUGUAUUAUGUAUUAUUAUUAAGUUUUAUUAUGAUAUAGAAAAAUGAAAGAAACAAGACCGGAGUUUAUUGUCAUGCUGUUUGAAAAUUCAGUAAACAUCUUUAAAUGGAAAGAAACCCAAUUCAAUUUAUUGUCGGACUGAUUUUGAAAUUUUGAGUUUAAAUAGUCCUUAUUUUAUGUUAUUUAUUAAAUUAUUUUUGUUGAUAUUACUAACUGAGUAGUAAAUUUAUAAUUUCCUUCCCAGCAUAAUUUUUACUAAGUAAAGGGUUAGACCUAUUUAAUCUCCAUUUAUUUUAAAUAUAUGGAAGAGUUUCAAUUGAAGUUUUGAGUUCGGAGGUUAUUCCUAUGCAAUAAUUAUUGUUUCUUCACUCAACAAUUCAUUUGUUAUUACCAGUUUGAGAUCAGUCUCUUUUUACUUGUUCAAUCCAUAUGUUAUAUAUGGAACAAAAUAAUAAUUUUAAACUGUAAUUUUGUUUGUCGAAAUUAGAUGAUUAAGAUGACUAAAUUUGCUAAAUAAUUCAAAUAAAAGUGAUGAAAUCUUGUUGGUUCAGAA